Long non-coding RNA from Polypterus senegalus (gray bichir), 341 nucleotides. RefSeq lists it as uncharacterized. NCBI's taxonomy places the organism in Eukaryota, Metazoa, Chordata, Cladistia, Polypteriformes, Polypteridae. The record is from RefSeq and is a predicted model, not a curated record. The transcript has 4 exons.
UUGUGAGGAAAAUUGUUUCACCUGUCUGGUAGAUACAUCACCCCCGCGCGUUGCCUUGAGAAACGUCUGUGUAAAGGACUUCUGACGCCUGCAUGUGCAACACUGCUGAGAUCUUUCAGGAAGAUGUUAUCAGAAGGGUUUUGGUCUGAAGAAUGUUUGAUUGAAAAUGAAGGACAAAAUUACACGGGAGCAAUAUCACCAGCAAAUGUUAAAGAGUGUAUAUCCAGAGAAUAGGUCUAAGACCAAACAUGAGAAAUCCUGCCUGUCCCAGCCCCGAGGACGUCACUUCAUGUCUCAGCCCUGAGGAUGUCAUUUCCUGUGAACCACCAAGAAAACCUCUC